This is a long non-coding RNA of Ctenopharyngodon idella (grass carp), 2653 nucleotides long. RefSeq lists it as uncharacterized. Lineage: Eukaryota; Metazoa; Chordata; Actinopteri; Cypriniformes; Xenocyprididae. The record is from RefSeq and is a predicted model, not a curated record. The transcript is spliced from 3 exons.
UAAAAAAUAAACAGCAGUAAAUAACAAACAAAUAUGAAUAUGUAGCCGGCGAGGUGACUACAACUAUUGAAGGGCGUGGCCAAGUAGGUAAUUGGUGGGUUUUUAAGCAGGCACCUAGAAGGGUACCUGGAGAUCUGGAGAUGGGGUCCGAUCUUUUGCGUGGAAGCGCGUUGCCUCGUAGUGGUGUUUGUGCACGGAUAUGGUCUGAAUGAGCAGAUGUAAACAUUGUGCUGCCUGGUACCGCUUCCGCGUUGGUUUGUGUAUGGACACUGUUUGGGUGAACAGGUGUAAACAUCGUGGAUUUAGCAGCUGCUGGUCACGCCCGUCCUCGUUUGAUCUCGGAUAUUAGUCCGUGGUUCGUGGCUGUGUUGCAGGUAAUCAGAGAGGGUAUUUAUAAUAUUUAAGUGGUUUGAUUUUAUUAUUUUUAAUGAUAUUAAAGAAAAAUGUGAUUAUGUGGAGUAUUGUUAAUUGUGUUUUUGUUUAUUUUCAUAUUAGGUUUAGUUGAUCGCUGUUCCUCCUAUGUUUGUUUUUGUUUUGUUUUUCUCGCUAGCCCGUCCUUGCAUGUGCGCGCUGUAUAAUAUCUUUUUGCGGGGGGAAGGAACUUUUGUCACAUGUAUUUUGUUGUAUUUAUUGAUUCAUUUGUAUAAAUGAUUUUUUUGUUAUAUAUGAAGUUUUCUUCUCCCUGAUUACAUUAUAGUUUUUUUUUUUUUUUUUUUUUUUUUUUUGGUCACCCUUGUUGGAAGUAAGAGUGGGCUAGUUACAAAUAUCAAACAUAAAUAUCUACAUACAGCAAACUAUAAAUUAAACAAUAUAAAUGCUCGUAAAGUGCGAUUAGCAGAAUAACAAUCAAGUAAACAGAAUAUAAGCGCAUAUAAACAACUUGAGGUACAUUAUACAGCGUCCUCGUUACGGUUUUAAAGUAUAACAAAUAUAAAAUAUAUUAUACAGAAUCAUAAACAUACUUAAACGAGGUAUGGUCAAUAUUAGCAAUUUAGGCCGCGAUGCUAGCGGCACAUUCACGUGCGUUUCACAUGAGUAACGAAUAAUCAUAAAGAUCGCAAAACACCCACGGCUUAAUGUUACAGAUCGUCUCAGUAGAAACAUCCAGUAUUACAAACAUAAAGUCAGGAAAUAAACUUACUUUGUCAAUAACUUUUGUCCUGCACUCAGAGAUGCUGCACGGGUGGAAAAUGAGUCAUAUGCUGACAGCUCCGUAUGCGCAACGGAGUAUGCGUCACUUACGCCAAAACUGUAUCCACUAGAAAUUGCGUAAUGCAUACUUUUCAUAUGUAUUAAUUAUUCUACAUAUAAUACAAACCCGUAACAGAUACAGAACACAGCAGCAGAUAAUACUAAAAAAACAUAUAAUAUAAAGAAUUCACAACAAUAAAUUUAUCCACCUUAACAGAUGCAGGAAAUACAGAAGCUGAAAAGAGAAGUGCUGUGAGUGAACUGUUUUCAAUGCCAUUUUUUUUCAAUAGCAAUUGAAAAAUUGAGAUUGAGAAGUGUCAAUUGAGAUCUGUUUUAUAAUCCUCCAGCCAAUAAACAAGGGCCCUCGCAUUCGCUGCCCAGUAAUAAUGUAAAAAGAAAGGCAGCCCUAGCCCACCUUUCUCUUUUGGUUUUUGUAAAUGUAUUUUUGUUAUUCCAAGCUUUAAAGGCCCAGAUAAAAGGCAGGAUUACAGAAUCUAAUGAUUUGAAGAAAGCUCUGGUCAAAAAAAUAGGUACGUUUUGAAAAAGAUAUAAGAAUCUAGGCAGAGAGACCAUUUUGACAUUUUGUCUAUUUUUAGAUCCUCCAAUUUCUUUAGAAAAUUCAACUUAAAAAUUAACAUAGGGUUUUUAAUAGUUUUUUUUUUUUUUAAUAUAGGGCAGAACAACUCCAAGAUACUUAAGUCUGUCUGUGAUUUUGAAAGGGAGAUUGUGUAGGAAUUCAUCAUCAAGUUCAGCACUUAAAGACAUGAAUUCACUCUUCUGCCAAUUAAUUGUAUAUCCAAAAACUGUACCAAAAGAUUUUAUAAGACCUAACAGUAAAGGAAUUGACUGCUCAGGAUUCGACAGAAAGAGAGCAACAUCAUCUGCAUACAAGGAAAUGUAAUGAUCUACAUUUCCCAGUCUUACAGGCUCGAUGGAUGGUUUCUAAUACUGAUCGUGAGGGGUUCGAUCGCAACUGCAAAAAGCAAAGGACUAAGGGGACAUCCUUGUUGUGUCCCACAAUGUAAUAAAAAUGACUUUGAUUUUUCUUGAUUUGUGAGUACGGCUAUUCUAUUAGGAACAAAAUCAGUUUGAUCCAAAUGUAUAAUAGAUGAAAUGUAUUUAUUUAACCUAUUGGCUAAUAAUUUUGUAAAAAUUUUAAUGUCAGAGUUAAGUAAUGCAUUAUUUUUUAUAUAAUUCAAUACCAAAACCGUCUGGCCCUGCCGCCUUGCCAUUAGGAAGGGAUUUUAUAGCAUCAAUGAUCUCUGGAAUAGUAAUGUCAGAGUUUAAGGCCUCACAGGCAACAUCACUCAAUUUAGGAAGAUUCAAAGGUCCUAGCCAAUUAAAGAUGUCACUUCUUGCUCUUGAUGUAUUUAAUUGUUCAUAAUAUUCUCUAAAGCGAUCAUUUAUACCUUUUAGGAUCCACAAGUAGGGGUGGGUAUUCCUGGGCCCUACGCAAAGACAG